This 387-nucleotide long non-coding RNA is filed under the name Papio anubis (olive baboon). RNAcentral describes it as "lncRNA (ENSPANG00000039614.1)". The record is from RNAcentral. Lineage: Eukaryota; Metazoa; Chordata; Mammalia; Primates; Cercopithecidae.
CUGAAUAUACUCCAUUGUAUGGAUGUACCACAGUUGUUGAUGAACAUCUUGGUUGCCUCCAGUUUUUGGCAGUUAUGAAUAAAGCUGCUAUAAACAUUCGUGUGCGGGUUUUGUGUGGACAUCAUGCUUGAUGAUAUGCCUAGGCUAGAUUAUGUUGCAGUGACAUUCCAAAAGUCUUGGAUCAAAACCUCCAUGUUGUGCUUCAUGUCCAUCAAAGGUAUUCUCAGCAAUCCAAUCUGGUGGCGGCUGGACCAUCGGGAACAUCACUGCUGGCUUGCUAGGGCCAGGAAAACAGAAACCUGGACACUGGAACACGCUUCCUGUCUUUCGUUACCUCGUGACCUUUCCUAUCAGCAGCCCGUGACUACGAAUUCUUUAUCCCUAUGA